This 481-nucleotide ribosomal RNA is filed under the name uncultured bacterium. RNAcentral describes it as "bacterial SSU rRNA". It matches the Rfam family "Bacterial small subunit ribosomal RNA", at positions 15 to 518 of the family's 1533-position model. The record is from RNAcentral.
GAUUAUGGCUCAGGAUUAACGCUGGCGGCGUGCCUAAUACAUGCAAGUCGGAUGGUUAGCUUGCUAACCAUGGCGAACGGGUGAGUAACACGUAGGUAACCUGUCUAAGACACGAGGAUAACCAUUGGAAACGAUGGAUAAUACUGGAUAGGACAUUUAAAGGCAUCUUUGGAUGUUUAAAGAUUUAUCGGUAAUAGAGGGGCCUGCGGCGCAUUAGCUAGUUGGCGGGGUGAAGGCCCACCAAGGCGAUGAUGCGUAGCCGGACUGAGAGGUUGAACGGCCACAAUGGGACUGAGAACGGCCCAUACUCCUACGGGAGGCAGCAGUAGGGAAUUUUCGGCAAUGGGCGGAAAGCCUGACCGAGCAACGCCGCGUGAACGAAGAAGUAUUUCGGUAUGUAAAGUUCUUUUAUUUGGGACGAAAAAUUAAAAUUGACUGUACCAAAUGAAUAAGCUCCGGCUAACUACGUGCCAGCCGCCGC